This 305-nucleotide unclassified non-coding RNA is filed under the name plant metagenome. Its description in RNAcentral is "partial contains 5.8S ribosomal RNA, internal transcribed spacer 2, and large subunit ribosomal RNA". The stretch from base 1 to 105 matches the Rfam family "5.8S ribosomal RNA", at positions 50 to 154 of the family's 154-position model. The record is from RNAcentral.
GAAAUGCGAUAAGUAAUGUGAAUUGCAGAAUUCAGUGAAUCAUCGAAUCUUUGAACGCACAUUGCGCCCGCCAGUAUUCUGGCGGGCAUGCCUGUCCGAGCGUCAUUUCAACCAUCAAGCCCCCGGGCUUGUGUUGGGGACCUGCGGCUGCCCGCAGGCCCUGAAAACCAGUGGCGGGCUCGCUGUCACACCGGGCGUAGUAGAUUUUAUCUCGCUCAGGGCGUGCUGCGGGUUCCGGCCGUUAAAAAGCCUUUUUUACCCAAGGUUGACCUCGGAUCAGGUAGGAAGACCCGCUGAACUUAAGC